This 1194-nucleotide ribosomal RNA is filed under the name Staphylococcus aureus VET0061R. RNAcentral's name for it is "bacterial SSU rRNA". It matches the Rfam family "Bacterial small subunit ribosomal RNA", at positions 8 to 1182 of the family's 1533-position model. Lineage: Bacteria; Bacillati; Bacillota; Bacilli; Caryophanales; Staphylococcaceae. The record is from RNAcentral.
AGAGUUUGAUCCUGGCUCAGGAUGAACGCUGGCGGCGUGCCUAAUACAUGCAAGUCGAGCGAACGGACGAGAAGCUUGCUUCUCUGAUGUUAGCGGCGGACGGGUGAGUAACACGUGGAUAACCUACCUAUAAGACUGGGAUAACUUCGGGAAACCGGAGCUAAUACCGGAUAAUAUUUUGAACCGCAUGGUUCAAAAGUGAAAGACGGUCUUGCUGUCACUUAUAGAUGGAUCCGCGCUGCAUUAGCUAGUUGGUAAGGUAACGGCUUACCAAGGCAACGAUGCAUAGCCGACCUGAGAGGGUGAUCGGCCACACUGGAACUGAGACACGGUCCAGACUCCUACGGGAGGCAGCAGUAGGGAAUCUUCCGCAAUGGGCGAAAGCCUGACGGAGCAACGCCGCGUGAGUGAUGAAGGUCUUCGGAUCGUAAAACUCUGUUAUUAGGGAAGAACAUAUGUGUAAGUAACUGUGCACAUCUUGACGGUACCUAAUCAGAAAGCCACGGCUAACUACGUGCCAGCAGCCGCGGUAAUACGUAGGUGGCAAGCGUUAUCCGGAAUUAUUGGGCGUAAAGCGCGCGUAGGCGGUUUUUUAAGUCUGAUGUGAAAGCCCACGGCUCAACCGUGGAGGGUCAUUGGAAACUGGAAAACUUGAGUGCAGAAGAGGAAAGUGGAAUUCCAUGUGUAGCGGUGAAAUGCGCAGAGAUAUGGAGGAACACCAGUGGCGAAGGCGACUUUCUGGUCUGUAACUGACGCUGAUGUGCGAAAGCGUGGGGAUCAAACAGGAUUAGAUACCCUGGUAGUCCACGCCGUAAACGAUGAGUGCUAAGUGUUAGGGGGUUUCCGCCCCUUAGUGCUGCAGCUAACGCAUUAAGCACUCCGCCUGGGGAGUACGACCGCAAGGUUGAAACUCAAAGGAAUUGACGGGGACCCGCACAAGCGGUGGAGCAUGUGGUUUAAUUCGAAGCAACGCGAAGAACCUUACCAAAUCUUGACAUCCUUUGACAACUCUAGAGAUAGAGCCUUCCCCUUCGGGGGACAAAGUGACAGGUGGUGCAUGGUUGUCGUCAGCUCGUGUCGUGAGAUGUUGGGUUAAGUCCCCGCAACGAGCGCAACCCUUAAGCUUAGUUGCCAUCAUUAAGUUGGGCACUCUAAGUUGACUGCCGGUGACAAACCGGAGGAAGGUGGGGAUGA